Long non-coding RNA from Manacus vitellinus (golden-collared manakin), 426 nucleotides. NCBI's taxonomy places the organism in Eukaryota, Metazoa, Chordata, Aves, Passeriformes, Pipridae. The record is from Ensembl.
AAUCUAGAAUGAAACCUUUCAUGUUCAACAUAUUCUCUUCUAAGUAUCUUUGGCAACAAGAGAUGCAGAAUUACUGAGGAGUUCUGCUCUGAAUGCUUCAACUUCCCGGUCAUCAGCCUGUGAAAGAAGGCUGCAAGUGCUGGUGCAAUGGAAAUAAGUGUGAGGGGAACAUUUCUUCUGAAGGUAGAGGCCCAAGUCCAGAAGGGACAGUGAGCUCAGGUCACUACUCCUCUCAUCUUGGUAAGAAAAAUCUCUAAGGGAAUUACAGAGGAGGCCUGCCCUUCCCAUGGUGGCACUGAAGCGUUGGGCUGUACUUGAAGCUCCCCAAUGCCAGCCUGCUGUGCCAGGGACCUGUGCUGUGCAAAAACUCUGGAAGUGCAAAGAGGAUUUAACUACAGUCCACGGCAGCUGGUGCAUGCAACAGAA